Molecule: long non-coding RNA, 1088 nt
Organism: Pseudomyrmex gracilis
Lineage: Eukaryota; Metazoa; Arthropoda; Insecta; Hymenoptera; Formicidae
Exons: 4
Source: RefSeq, a predicted model, not a curated record
UGUUGCCACAACAAUACCUAAUUACACAGGAAAACAGUUCAAAUGAAUGAAUUUUCGAAUGAAGAAAACAACAUUUGAAAAUUUAGAGCGAAUAUUAACACCUUAUUUAAUAAGGACAGCAAACAGUGGAAGAUGUACUUUAAAUGUUCGCACACAAUUACUUGCAGUCUUGUGAUUGCUUGCAACUCCUGAUUCAUUCAGAUCUGUGUCUGAUCGCUUUGACAUCAGUAAAUUAAUGCUGCAUGAUUCCAUGAGAAGAGUUGUGGCUGCUUUGAAUAAUAUUGCUGAUAGAUUUAUUACAUGGCCUAAAGAUGAUCGAUUAAAUGAGAUAAAACAUCGAUUUCAGAUAUUGGCUCUCUUCCUAAUGUGAUUGGGGCAAUCGACGGAACUCAUAUUCCUAUUCCAGCACCCAUGGUUGAUUCUAUCUACUAUAGGACAAGAAAAAAACAAUAUGCUAUUACACUGCAGGCUGUGUGCGAUGCAAACUUAAUUAUCACGGAUUGUUUUGUCGGAUUUGCUGGAUCCGUUUAUGAUGCCAGGAUUUUCAGGAACUCUGAUCUUUGGCAUACAGUAGUAGCAAAUGAACAAGCCUUUUUUCCCAACAAUGAAUUUAUAAUAGGCACAGAUAAAUUUUAAUGAACAUUUGUCUAAAAUGAGGCAAGUUAUUGAAAGAGCGUUUGCCCUUCUUAAAGGAAGAUUUCGACGGUUAAAAUAUUUGCACAUNAGUUGCACAGAUUUGAUACCAUUUGUCAUUUUGGCAUGUUGCGUUCUCCAUAAUAUUUGCCUGGAAGAUUGUCAAGAUCUUAGAUGAUUUUAUAGACGACGACAUAGAACAGGAUCCUAACAAUGCUAAUGAGAAUAAUGUUAUUUUUGAUCAAUUAGCUAAUGACGCAAGAGGAUUGAUCUACCGCGAAUAUUUAACAGCUCUUGUAGCACAUAUUGUACCAUAAAUAGUAAAUAUAAUAGCAUAGCAGUCUUUAUCACAACCUUCAUAAUCUAUUUUUGUAGUAUAAGUACAUAUAAUAUAUUUUUUAUUUAAUGUUUGUAAUCAAGAGGCACGGUAGUGCCUCGCGCCAAGUUUCACGCGC